CCGGGGCUUCCGGACGGGCGCGGGGCGCCGGGGGUGACUCAGGGGGCGCUGACUCAGGGGCCGCCGCCCGCCCCGGCCGGGCGCGAGGUCACCUGUGCUCUGCUGGGUCGGGGGCUGCGAACCGCAACCGAAAGAAACCUGGGAAGAGCGGGAUUCUUCGCCCGGCCGCGCUGGGCCCAUGCAGCUCCGGCCCUGGGCGGGGGCUCCGGGGACCCUGCGGGCAUCUCGGGAAUGGCCCAGGACCCGGUUCCGCGGACCCGGGUGCGUCCACCUGCUGGGCGGCUUUUGCAGCAGCCAGGGCAGCCUGGGCCUUGGCUGGGAGUGGGAACCUGGCCGGUCCUCACCGCUUUCCAGUGACCAGGCUCUGCGUUUCCUCCCAGGGCUCCCAAAGCUCUGAGACAUUGCCACAACACCGAAGCCCGGCUGUGAAACAACCCUGACUCUACCGCAGGCUCCGGGUCCCUCGGCGGAAAGGCCGCCUUCAUAGCCACAGAAAAAGUUGUAAGGUCCAGGCGCGGAGCCCAGCCGGCGAUCGCAAAUGGAACGGUUGGCUGGGGCGCAGCGCAUGGAAAUGCCAGUUGGGACCCGCGGCUCUGCCAACAGCGGCGGAUCCGACUGAGAAGCUCGAACUGGUCCAGCACUCAGGAGGCUGAGACAGGAGGAUUGCCAUGUGUUUGAGGCCAGCCUGGGCUACAUAGCAAGACCUUGUCUAAAGAAAACAGAAAACAACAACAACACACAACAGAAACCCCAAAAGUGAUGGUGCUGAAUCUUCUUGGAGAGAGGAUCUCAUAGAAGUACCCGAGUUUAAUGCAAUGGCACAUGAAAAACCAGAUUUACAAGUUUUAGAAGAGCUCAAAAGUGAAUCAUGAAAUUAUUCAUGCAUGGAUGAUGGAGAUGAGACUUUGACAUUGCCCAUGUGAGCUUAAGUUCCUGUGACAGUGAAAUGGAGCAAGAAUCAAGUGAUACACAGAGAAUGCAGACCUCCUGGAUUCAGAUGAGAAGGAAAACAGCAAUGUGAGU
Molecule: long non-coding RNA, 1023 nt
Filed under: Heterocephalus glaber (naked mole-rat)
Lineage: Eukaryota; Metazoa; Chordata; Mammalia; Rodentia; Bathyergidae
Description: lncRNA (ENSHGLG00100036722.1)
Source: RNAcentral